RNAcentral lists this ribosomal RNA (253 nucleotides) under uncultured bacterium. RNAcentral's name for it is "partial 16S ribosomal RNA". It matches the Rfam family "Bacterial small subunit ribosomal RNA", at positions 524 to 776 of the family's 1533-position model. The record is from RNAcentral.
GACGUAGGGGGCGAGCGUUGUCCGGAUUUAUUGGGCGUAAAGGGUGCGUAGGUGGCGUCGUAAGUCGGGUGUGAAAUUUCGGAGCUUAACUCCGAAACUGCAUUCGAUACUGCGGUGCUUGAGGACUGGAGAGGAGACUGGAAUUUACGGUGUAGCAGUGAAAUGCGUAGAGAUCGUAAGGAAGACCAGUGGCGAAGGCGGGUCUCUGGACAGUUCCUGACACUGAGGCACGAAGGCCAGGGGAGCAAACGGG